CCUACGGGAGGCAGCAGUGGGGAAUAUUGGACAAUGGGCGAAAGCCUGACCCAGCAACGCCGCGUGAAGGAAGAAGGCUUUCGGGUUGUAAACUUCUUUUGUCAGGGACGAAACAAGUGACGGUACCUGACGAAUACACCACGGCUAACUACUGGCCAGCAGCCGCGGUAAUACGUAGGGGGCAAGCGUGAGCCGGAUUUACUGGGUGGAAAGGGCGUGUAGGCGGGACAGCAAGGCAGAUGUGAAAACCAAGGGCUCAAACUGUGGCCCGCAUUUGAAACUGUAGUUGUUUAGGACUGGAGAGGCAGACGGAAUUCCUAGUGGAGCGGUGAAAUGCGUAGAUAUUAGGAGGAACACCAGUGGCGAAGGCGGUCUGCUGGACAGCAACUGACGCUGAGGCGCGAAAGCGUGGGGAGCAAACAGGAUUAGAUACCCCAGUAGUC
RNAcentral lists this ribosomal RNA (443 nucleotides) under uncultured bacterium. Its description in RNAcentral is "partial 16S ribosomal RNA". It matches the Rfam family "Bacterial small subunit ribosomal RNA", at positions 338 to 795 of the family's 1533-position model. The record is from RNAcentral.